RNAcentral lists this long non-coding RNA (438 nucleotides) under Mytilus galloprovincialis (Mediterranean mussel). The record is from RNAcentral. Lineage: Eukaryota; Metazoa; Mollusca; Bivalvia; Mytilida; Mytilidae.
GUUUUAUUUGGCACCAUCGUUUUUCUGAUUUUCUUUUUUUUUAGCCACGAUGUUGUCAGUUUAUUUUCGACUUUUGAGUUUGAAUGUCGCUCUCGUACUUUCGCCUAUCUUUUAAUUUUAAAUUAAACAAUUAUAGUUAAAUUUCAAAUACUGUGUAAUUAGAUUAAUUUAAAUGUAAAUCGCAUACCAAUCACGUUAACAUAGAAGUCUUGAUUAACAAACAAAGAUAAGUUGUACGGCUUGUAAUGAGUUAAUUAUUAAUCCAUGAAAGUGUUGAUCUGUGUACAAACACCGUUAAAAAUGUCUCCAAUCAGUUGCGUAUGGUUUAUCGCAGGUCACUCUGAUUUUGUUCUUGUUUAGAAAUAUGAUAUAGUCAAUAAUUUCAGACAAAAGACUGUUUGACUUUCCAUUUUUUUUUUUGUUACAAGUAGUGCACAU